GACCUUUCCCCUUAUAACUGAAAAUUUCGAUCUAGACAAAAAUUUCAUCACAGCUUGAAAGAGCAUCACAAAAUUAGUAAUAUUCCAAAGUUUUGUUGCAAAAUCUUGUAAAAUGCGGAUAACAUAGCCUUGCGAAGUUUGCCGUUUUUCAGUCAUUUUGUAUUACAAACGGGAAAUUGACAUCCGAGUCGGGUGUUGGGGCUGCAAUUUCCCGUUUGUAAUGCAAAAUGACUGAAAAUUGCAAACUUCGCAAGGCUCUAUUUUCCUCAGUUUACA
This is a non-coding RNA of Paramuricea clavata, 276 nucleotides long. NCBI's taxonomy places the organism in Eukaryota, Metazoa, Cnidaria, Anthozoa, Malacalcyonacea, Plexauridae. The record is from the annotation of a GenBank genome assembly.